AGAAUUGAAUUCUUUCAUUCCAAACAUGAAAAGUGACAAAAAGAAAUCAAUUGAAUUGAAUUCUUGUAAAAUUCUAGUUUCCAUACAGGGGGAGUAUGUUCUAGUUUGAGCCUAACCUACAUCCUUUUUAUCUUUUGCAUUCUUUGAUUGAAUGGAAGUUAAGAGUCACAGCAGAAAUUUUGACCACUUGAGCUAGUUGCCCAAGGCUUUGAGAGAGUAUGUUUACUUAUAACAUAAUACUUUUUGUGAUAUCAUUUCUAUUCCGUUUCUUGGGCUGCCAGAAAGUCACCUUAUGUACACUUUCUUUGACUAGUGGCUCAUCUUCGUUGCUUUGUUGUUGUUGUUGUUGUUG
Molecule: unclassified non-coding RNA, 352 nt
Filed under: Hevea brasiliensis (rubber tree)
Lineage: Eukaryota; Viridiplantae; Streptophyta; Magnoliopsida; Malpighiales; Euphorbiaceae
Source: RNAcentral